This 292-nucleotide ribosomal RNA is filed under the name uncultured bacterium. RNAcentral describes it as "partial 16S ribosomal RNA". It matches the Rfam family "Bacterial small subunit ribosomal RNA", at positions 335 to 642 of the family's 1533-position model. The record is from RNAcentral.
GCCCCUACGGGGGGCAGCAGUGGGGAAUAUUGGGCAAUGGGCGCAAGCCUGACCCAGCAACGCCGCGUGAAGGAAGAAGGCUUUCGGGUUGUAAACUUCUUUUCUCAGGGACGAAGAAAGUGACGGUACCUGAGGAAUAAGCCACGGCUAACUACGUGCCAGCAGCCGCGGUAAUACGUAGGUGGCAAGCGUUAUCCGGAUUUAUUGGGUGUAAAGGGCGUGUAGGCGGGAGCGCAAGUCAGAUGUGAAAACUCAGGGCUCAACCCUGUCGAGCCGUCGGAACUGGCAGCCU